CAGGGCGGCGGUUUUUGGCAACAGCUGGAUUGAGAGUGGAGUGUGCAUGGUAGGAAGUUUAGUUGACUCGGGAAGCGAUCCGGAAAUGGAGGAAGAAGUGGCGUGGAGAACGGAGGUAAUGAAUGGAAUGUUGUUGAAAAUCGAAAAAGAAAGAAAAACUGGGGUCAGAUUUCAGAUUCUGAUAGUGAAAACGGAAGACAUCAGUUAAGAAGGAAAAAGGAGGAAUACAAGAUUUUGGCAGAGAGUGCAGCCAGUAAUGAAGGGAUAGAUGCACCUAGCACUGUAGAUUUUGAAGCUACAGAGGGCUUCUCUCUACACAAUACUGAACCAUUAGUCCUUCAUCGUGGGUCAUAGUGCAACAUCAAAUGUCUGCAACGUUCAUCAGCUGUUCAGGUAAAGCCUGAAAUGGUUAGUGUUUGGACUCAGACUGAAUGGUUUGAGCAACAAACAUCACUGCCCAGUUCUGUCCAAAGUGAGGACGAAUCAUCCUCUGAUGUCAUGGACCAUUCUGAUCUGUCAUGGAUCCCAGACGAGGAGAUGAGUAGUGAGACAUCUGAUGAGGAGAAUCCAGAAGAGCCAAUACAGGAAUCACUCAAUGACCUCAAUGUGGCUGACAAGUUCAUUGUUUGCCUAAGCCAGCAGAUGUGUCUGUUCACUGUUUGCUCGGUCUGUUGUGGGGAAACCCAGGGACAAAUAGAGUACCAGGAAGGGACUUGCAUAAAAAUCAAGCAGGCCUGCACAGCAUGUGGCUAUCAGCGUCACUGGCAGAAUCAAAAUAUGCUGCACCGAAACAUGCCAGCCUGCAAUCUUCUACUCAGCGGUGCCAUUCACAUUUCAGGCUGCAUGGCUACUCAGACCAUCAGAAUGCUGAAGCUGUUUGGGCUGCAGUGCAUCAGUCCCAGCACUUUUUUCCGCCAUCAGCACCUCUACACAAUUCCUACCAUCCUGCAGGCCUGGCAGAAUGAGGGAUCAUCAGAGAGCUGAAGGAGAUUGGGGGUGGACUGAUCCUCUCUGGUGACUGCUGAUCAGACUCUCCUGGACAUUGUGCCAAAUAUGGAACGUAUUCCUUGAUUGAAGACCGAAUGAACAAGGUUUUGGAUCUUCAACUUGUCCAGAGCUCAGAGGUCCCAAGCAGCACCUGGUGUGAGAUAGAGGGUCUGAAGCGCAGUGUGCGGUUCCUGAAGGACCAAGGCAUGCAGGUGUCAGCCCUAAUAACUGACAGAAAUCGGCAGGUUGCUAAGUGGGUCCGUGAGGAGUUGUGUCCUGAAGGAACAAGGCAUUUCUACGACAUCUGGCAUAUUGGGAAAAGUCUACAAAAAGCACUGGAUACUGUGGCCAAGGAUUGUGAGGACCUGAAGCUAUGGAGACCCGCCAUCAUCAACCAUUUAUACUGGACUGCGUCUUCCACCCCAAAUGGUGAUUCUGAUGAAAUGGAGGCCAAGUGGCAGAGCAUGCUGAACCAUGUUCAGGAUAUCCAUGAACACAGCUACCCUUCAUUUCCACAAUGUGCACACCCACCUCUGAAAGGAGAGGGAAGAAACAAGCAGUGGCUUGAACCAGGAUCAACAGCUGCGAUAAAGUUGGAAAGUGUUGCUUCCAGAAAGGCCCUGCUGAAGGAUAUUCAACAGCUCUCACCACAACACACACACACACACACACACACACACACAAACACUGAACAUCUACUGCUGCAGACACACACACACACACACACACACACACACUGAACAUCUACAUCAACGAAACAUUUUCCUUGGAGGCAUUCCAUUCACUUAUCCUGCACUUUGCGCCAAAGCGCACCGGCUUCUCUUUUCUUGGAAUGUACAGCAGACUUCUUAGCAGCCCUCCACUUCAAUAACAAUGGAGACAGAGACUUGGCUCGAACGAACAAUGGUGAGGCGCGCUAUGCAGUCCGUUACCCCCGGUUUCGUAAGGGUGGCUGGGUCGUCCGACCCAUAAAAGAGAAACCAUCAUACGAAUAUGCAUCGGCCCUGAUGGUCUCCCUGAGAGAGGGAUAUAUAAGGUCACCACAGGCCCUCAAAGAAGACAGCGCCAUCCUGUCCUCAGCUGCACCUGCCCCUCUUUCCACGAUCACAAAAUCGCCAAGGAUGAGGCAGUCGGCCACCAUCUUGAAUGUCAUUCACGUUUUAAGUCCUAAUUACUGUCAAUGAAAUUAGAAAUACAUUUUAUAC
This is a long non-coding RNA of Xyrauchen texanus (razorback sucker), 2192 nucleotides long. RefSeq lists it as uncharacterized. The transcript is spliced from 12 exons. NCBI's taxonomy places the organism in Eukaryota, Metazoa, Chordata, Actinopteri, Cypriniformes, Catostomidae. The record is from RefSeq and is a predicted model, not a curated record.